RNAcentral lists this ribosomal RNA (315 nucleotides) under uncultured bacterium. Its description in RNAcentral is "bacterial SSU rRNA". It matches the Rfam family "Bacterial small subunit ribosomal RNA", at positions 28 to 334 of the family's 1533-position model. The record is from RNAcentral.
GGCGAACGCUGGCGGCGUGCUUAACACAUGCAAGUCGAGCGGGGAUUGAUGAAGACUUCGGUCGGAAUCAAUUCUAGCGGCGGACGGGUGAGUAACGCGUGAACAAUCUGUCCCAGACAGGGGGAUAACACUUGGAGACAGGUGCUAAUACCGCAUAAGACCACGAAGUCGCAUGGCUUUGGGGUAAAAGAUUUAUCGGUUUGGGGUGAGUUCGCGUCCGAUUAGGUAGUUGGUGAGGUAACGGCCCACCAAGGCGAUGAUGUUUAGCGGGGUUGAGAGACUGAUCCGCCACACUGGGACUGAGAUACGGCCCAG